RNAcentral lists this ribosomal RNA (448 nucleotides) under uncultured bacterium. Its description in RNAcentral is "bacterial SSU rRNA". It matches the Rfam family "Bacterial small subunit ribosomal RNA", at positions 330 to 792 of the family's 1533-position model. The record is from RNAcentral.
CCCAGACUCCUACGGGAGGCAGCAGUGGGGGAUAUUGGACAAUGGGGGAAACCCUGAUCCAGCGACGCCGCGUGAGUGAAGAAGUAUUUCGGUAUGUAAAGCUCUGUCAGCAGGGAAGAAAGAAAUGACGGUACCUGACCAAGAAGCCCCGGCUAACUACGUGCCAGCAGCCGCGGUAAUACGUAGGGGGCAAGCGUUAUCCGGAAUUACUGGGUGUAAAGGGAGCGUAGACGGUGAUGCAAGUCUGGAGUGAAAGGCGGGGGCCCAACCCCCGGACUGCUCUGGAAACUGUGCAGCUAGAGUGCAGGAGAGGUAAGUGGAAUUCCUAGUGUAGCGGUGAAAUGCGUAGAUAUUAGGAGGAACACCAGUGGCGAAGGCGGCCUACUGGACUGUAACUGACGUUGAGGCUCGAAAGCGUGGGGAGCAAACAGGAUUAGAUACCCCAGUA